GAUGAACGCUAGCGAUAGGCUUAACACAUGCAAGUCGAGGGGCAGCAUGGUCUUAGCUUGCUAAGACUGAUGGCGACCGGCGCACGGGUGCGUAACGCGUAUGCAACUUGCCUCACAGAGGGGGAUAACCCGUCGAAAGACGGACUAAUACCGCGUACACUUGGGAUAGGGCAUCCUGACCCAAGGAAAUGAAAUUCGCUGUGAGAUAGGCAUGCGUCCCAUUAGCUAGUUGGUGAGGUAACGGCUCACCAAGGCGACGAUGGGUAGGGGAACUGAGAGGUUGAACCCCCACACUGGUACUGAGACACGGACCAGACUCCUACGGAAGGCAGCAGUGAGGAAUAUUGGGCAAGGGGCGAGAGCCUGAACCAGCCAAGUCGCGUGAAGGAUGACUGUCUUAUGGAUUGUAAACUUCUUUUAUACGGGAAUAACAAGAGUCACGUGUGGCUCCCUGCAUGUACCGUAUGAAUAAGCAUCGGCUAACUCCGUG
Molecule: ribosomal RNA, 490 nt
Filed under: uncultured bacterium
Lineage: Bacteria
Description: partial 16S ribosomal RNA
Rfam family: Bacterial small subunit ribosomal RNA
Source: RNAcentral